Lingula anatina is the source of this 957-nucleotide long non-coding RNA. NCBI's taxonomy places the organism in Eukaryota, Metazoa, Brachiopoda, Lingulata, Lingulida, Lingulidae. The record is from RefSeq and is a predicted model, not a curated record.
UAUAUAUUGACUUCCGCUGCACUGCGAUGCUAGCGCUGCUUUGUGCACAAUGUAUGCAUUUUCAGGUUAAGAAGAGGACAGUGUCCAGUAUUAUUUUUUUCACAUGAAGACUAGCAUUGAAUAAGAAAAGAUUGAUUGAGACAUAGGUCUGGCACAUUUUAUCACACGCUUAUGCAUGUAACGUGACAGCUACAUCAGAAAUUGAGGGAAACUGCCAUGAGUGAAGAAGUGAAAUGUGGAAGAUGUGGAUGUAAAAAAUCAUCCGGGCACACACACAAAGAGCAUCAACUUCAAAGAAAUCUGCACACAAAGAGGCAUCAGGAUACAGGAUACAUGCUGUAUACACAGAGGCACUUACGGACUUAAAUGUGCAUGUCAUGUGAAGAAGUUUAAGAGGGGACAGACCAUGUGCACAUUUAAGAAUACAGAACCAUGCAAACUUAACUAUAUUUUGACUGGACAUCCUUUCUUUAGUUUGUACUGAAAUAAAGCUAGUGUAUGUGCCAGCACAUGAUCACUGAUAUGUCUUGAGGUAAACUUUAUUCACCAUAGGGGGCGACGCUGUACAUGACGGGUCGACACAGUAUAGUACUAUGUACUACGUAAAGUCACUCUCACAAUCUGCUCCUGGGUUCAUAUUCACGUCGUUUAAUAACCUUCUUUAAUCUGUCAUUGAUGGCAAUUAAGUCGAUCCAAUUUUUCAUGUGGUCUCUAGGAUUCUCCCAAGCAUAUAACCUUUUUUUUCCAUUUAGUCCUACGUUCAUGGUCACCACUGAGAAUAAUGUAUAUCAAUAUUGUUUCAUUUGCUGGAAGGUAAUUGUCAAGGGGAAAAUGUUCAAAACUACCAUGUCAUAAUCAGUUUCUGUAUCUUUUGAAUUCGUUAUUGCUCUUGCUUGUAAAACAUCUUCAAUAAUUUACUUUUCAAAAUGCACCUUUAUUCCACUUCCUUUGUCAGUA